RNAcentral lists this ribosomal RNA (746 nucleotides) under bacterium. RNAcentral's name for it is "bacterial SSU rRNA". It matches the Rfam family "Bacterial small subunit ribosomal RNA", at positions 71 to 830 of the family's 1533-position model. The record is from RNAcentral.
AUCCGGUGCUUGCCCGGGGAUUAGUGGCGAACGGGUGAGUAACACGUGAGUAACCUGCCCUUAACUCUGGGAUAAGCCUGGGAAACUGGGUCUAAUACCGGAUAUGACUCCUCAUCGCAUGGUGGGGGGUGGAAAGCUUUAUUGUGGUUUUGGAUGGACUCGCGGCCUAUCAGCUUGUUGGUGAGGUAAUGGCUUACCAAGGCGACGACGGGUAGCCGGCCUGAGAGGGUGACCGGCCACACUGGGACUGAGACACGGCCCAGACUCCUACGGGAGGCAGCAGUGGGGAAUAUUGCACAAUGGGCGCAAGCCUGAUGCAGCGACGCCGCGUGAGGGAUGACGGCCUUCGGGUUGUAAACCUCUUUCAGUAGGGAAGAAGCGAAAGUGACGGUACCUGCAGAAGAAGCGCCGGCUAACUACGUGCCAGCAGCCGCGGUAAUACGUAGGGCGCAAGCGUUAUCCGGAAUUAUUGGGCGUAAAGAGCUCGUAGGCGGUUUGUCGCGUCUGCCGUGAAAGUCCGGGGCUCAACUCCGGAUCUGCGGUGGGUACGGGCAGACUAGAGUGAUGUAGGGGAGACUGGAAUUCCUGGUGUAGCGGUGAAAUGCGCAGAUAUCAGGAGGAACACCGAUGGCGAAGGCAGGUCUCUGGGCAUUAACUGACGCUGAGGAGCGAAAGCAUGGGGAGCGAACAGGAUUAGAUACCCUGGUAGUCCAUGCCGUAAACGUUGGGCACUAGGUGUGGGGGAC